This 254-nucleotide ribosomal RNA is filed under the name uncultured bacterium. RNAcentral describes it as "partial 16S ribosomal RNA". It matches the Rfam family "Bacterial small subunit ribosomal RNA", at positions 524 to 776 of the family's 1533-position model. The record is from RNAcentral.
UACGGGGGGAGCAAGCGUUGUUCGGAUUUACUGGGCGUAAAGGGCGCGUAGGCGGUCGUGACAAGUCACUUGUGAAAUCUCCGGGCUUAACUCGGAACGGUCAAGUGAUACUGUCGGACUAGAGUACAGAAGGGGCAACUGGAAUUCUCGGUGUAGCGGUGAAAUGCGUAGAUAUCGAGAGGAACACCUGCGGCGAAAGCGGACUUCUGGGCUGUUACUGACGCUGAGGUACGAAAGCGUGGGGAGCAAACGGG